This 75-nucleotide transfer RNA is filed under the name Acidobacteriota bacterium. RNAcentral describes it as "tRNA-Met". It matches the Rfam family "tRNA". Rfam says of the family: Transfer RNA (tRNA) molecules are approximately 80 nucleotides in length. Their secondary structure includes four short double-helical elements and three loops (D, anti-codon, and T loops). Further hydrogen bonds mediate the characteristic L-shaped molecular structure. tRNAs have two regions of fundamental functional importance: the anti-codon, which is responsible for specific mRNA codon recognition, and the 3' end, to which the tRNAs corresponding amino acid is attached (by aminoacyl-tRNA synthetases). tRNAs cope with the degeneracy of the genetic code in two manners: having more than one tRNA (with a specific anti-codon) for a particular amino acid; and 'wobble' base-pairing, i.e. permitting non-standard base-pairing at the 3rd anti-codon position. The record is from RNAcentral. Lineage: Bacteria; Pseudomonadati; Acidobacteriota.
GGCGGGGUAGCUCAGUUCGGUUAGAGCGAAGGACUCAUAACCCUUAGGUCGGCGGUUCAAGUCCGCCCCCCGCUA